CGGUAGAUUCUCGAUCGCCGUAGAGAUACGGUUUCCCCUUUGGGGCGGGUUCACAGGUGGUGCAUGGUUGUCGUCAGCUCGUGUCGUGAGAUGUUGGGUUAAGUCCCGCAACGAGCGCAACCCUCGUUCCAUGUUGCCAGCACGUAAUGGUGGGGACUCAUGGGAGACUGCCGGGGUCAACUCGGAGGAAGGUGAGGACGACGUCAAAUCAUCAUGCCCCUUAUGUCUUGGGCUUCACGCAUGCUACAAUGGCCGGUACAAUGGGUUGCGACACUGUGAGGUGGAGCUAAUCCCAAAAAGCCGGUCUCAGUUCGGAUUGGGGUCUGCAACUCGACCCCAUGAAGUCGGAGUCGCUAGUAAUCGCAGAUCAGCAACGCUGCGGUGAAUACGUUCCCGGGUCUUGUACACACCGA
This 413-nucleotide ribosomal RNA is filed under the name uncultured Micrococcus sp. RNAcentral describes it as "bacterial SSU rRNA". It matches the Rfam family "Bacterial small subunit ribosomal RNA", at positions 981 to 1393 of the family's 1533-position model. The record is from RNAcentral. Lineage: Bacteria; Bacillati; Actinomycetota; Actinomycetes; Micrococcales; Micrococcaceae.